AUAGGCAAAGUAAAUAAAAAACAUAUGAGAUUGGUAAAUAAGGGAUCUUUCGCCAUCGCAAAUUAAUAAUUUGAUUGAUUCCAACGUAAAUUUUAUUGUGUUCGGAAAGUUUAAUACGGAAAUAAGUAUAAUUUGUGGUGAGAAUAGUUGCGGAAAGCCCGAAAAUUUGUUGGUUCAGUGUAUAAUUAUCUCGGCAGUAUAAUAUCGGUUACCUGGUUUCCUGAAAAUCAAUUAGGUCCCAAAUUAACGUUCCCGUUGACUGCGAAAAAUACACCUGCAACAUAAGUAGGGUAACGGCACCAGUAUUCAUCCGACCAAAAAUUUGAUUCUACUAAACUAGGAAGUUGUGAGAAGGAAACCACUUUUUUGUAAGUAAAUGAAUUAGUUGUAAGAAAGUUAUGGAAAAUAAUUAAAAAUAUAU
Molecule: long non-coding RNA, 421 nt
Organism: Aedes aegypti (yellow fever mosquito)
Lineage: Eukaryota; Metazoa; Arthropoda; Insecta; Diptera; Culicidae
Exons: 3
Source: RefSeq, a predicted model, not a curated record